Molecule: non-coding RNA, 127 nt
Organism: Myotis brandtii (Brandt's bat)
Lineage: Eukaryota; Metazoa; Chordata; Mammalia; Chiroptera; Vespertilionidae
Source: Rfam
CGUGCACCGGUGGGGUCCCUCGGCCUGGCCUGCGCCCCCUCGCAAUCUGGGACCCCUCGGGGAAUGUCGGAGAGCUGGUUUCAGCCUGAUCCCCGCAGGCCAGGCCGAGGGACCCCACCGGUGCACG